AAAGCCUGUCUCAGUUCGGAUUGGAGUCUGCAACCCGACUCCAUGAAGCUGGAUUCGCUAGUAAUCGCGCAUCAGCCACGGCGCGGUGAAUACGUUCCCGGGCCUUGUACACACCGCCCGUCAAGCCAUGGAAGCCGGGGGUGCCUGAAGUGCGCUGCCGCAAGGAGCGCCCUAGGGUAAAACCGGUGACUGGGGCUAAGUCGUAACAAGGUACC
This 215-nucleotide ribosomal RNA is filed under the name uncultured bacterium. RNAcentral describes it as "partial 16S ribosomal RNA". It matches the Rfam family "Bacterial small subunit ribosomal RNA", at positions 1278 to 1500 of the family's 1533-position model. The record is from RNAcentral.